RNAcentral lists this ribosomal RNA (356 nucleotides) under uncultured bacterium. RNAcentral's name for it is "bacterial SSU rRNA". It matches the Rfam family "Bacterial small subunit ribosomal RNA", at positions 29 to 289 of the family's 1533-position model. The record is from RNAcentral.
ACGAACGCUGGCGGCAUGCCUAAUACAUGCAAGUCGAACGCGACUGAGAAGUGAGAAAUGGGAAGUAUGAGAGAAUUGCAGCGAACACUGAAAUUCCGGAAGUGGGAGGAAGUGCGCUUUCGUUCGCACAUCUAACUUCUCACCUCUCACUUCUCAGUUGAGUGGCGGACGGGUGAGUAACGCGUGGGCAACCUGCCCCAAAGCUCGGGAUAACACUCCGAAAGGCGUGCUAAUACCGGAUGUAGUUGCGGUGCUGCAUGGCACGGCAAAAAAGGAGAAAUCCACUUUGGGAUGGGCCCGCGUCUGAUUAGCUGGUUGGUGGGGUGACGGCCUACCAAGGCGACGAUCAGUAGCCG